RNAcentral lists this ribosomal RNA (361 nucleotides) under uncultured Methanosaeta sp. RNAcentral describes it as "bacterial SSU rRNA". It matches the Rfam family "Archaeal small subunit ribosomal RNA", at positions 980 to 1338 of the family's 1478-position model. The record is from RNAcentral. Lineage: Archaea; Methanobacteriati; Methanobacteriota; Methanomicrobia; Methanotrichales; Methanotrichaceae.
CUGAGAGGUGGUGGCAUGGCCGUCGUCAGUUCGUACUGUGAAGACAUCCUGUUAAGUCAGGCAACGAGCGAGACCCACGUCCACAGUUGCCAGCAUACCCUCCGGGGUGAUGGGUACACUGUGGAGACCGCCGCUGCUAAAGCGGAGGAAGGAGUGGGCAACGGUAGGUCAGUAUGCCCCGAAUCUCCCGGGCUACACGCGGGCUACAAUGGUUGGUACAAUGGGCAUCUGCCCCGAAAGGGGAAGGAAAUCUCUUAAAGCCAAUCGUAGUUCGGAUUGAGGGCUGCAACUCGCCCUCAUGAAGCUGGAAUCCGUAGUAAUCGCGUUUCAACAGAACGCGGUGAAUACGUCCCUGCUCCUU